CUCUUUGUGCAGGGGGGACUUCAGUUUGCGCAGGAGUGGCUUCCGGGAUGGGUCUUCGCGCAAUGUGCUCUUCUGCAGUUGGUUCUUGCGCAUAGAUUUCCCUUUCAGAUUGUGUAGGAGGUGUUCUUUCAUCAAUCUUGGCCUCUUGAAGCUCUUUUCCACUUCUCAAAGUAAUGGCACUGACAUUUUGUCUAGGAUUAGUUUCAGUUUGAGAAGGGAGCUUACCUUGAGAUUCAGAUCUGCCGAUGGAUGCAGCCAGUUGGCCUAUCUCUUGUCACACGCCUUGCAUGGUAUUGACCAUUGUUUCCAUCAUUGUUUGCAUGAUCUUCUCAAGGUUCUGAUUUGGAUUUGAAGGUGCUGGUUGAGCUUGAUUUCUUUGGAGAAUUUGGUAAUUCUGACUAUUGUUGGCCCUUCCAUAGCUGAAAUUGGGAUGGUCUCUCCAACCUGGAUUGUAUGUAUUGGAGUAUGGAUCAUGCCUAGGCUGGUUGUGGUACCCUCCAAUAGCGUUGACUUGGUGGUGAUCUUCUUGGAGUGUGGGACAUUGAUCAGUUGGG
Molecule: long non-coding RNA, 554 nt
Filed under: Manihot esculenta (cassava)
Lineage: Eukaryota; Viridiplantae; Streptophyta; Magnoliopsida; Malpighiales; Euphorbiaceae
Description: long non-coding RNA (MESC_LNC003406)
Source: RNAcentral